UGGGGAAUCUUGCGCAAUGCGCGAAAGCGUGACGCAGCAACGCCGCGUGGGGGAAGAAGGCCUUCGGGUUGUAAACCCCUUUCAGUUGGGACGAAGCUUCGCCGGUGAAUAGCCGGCUGGAGUGACGGUACCUUCACAAGAAGCCCCGGCUAACUACGUGCCAGCAGCCGCGGUAAUACGUAGGGGGCUAGCGUUGUCCGGAAUCAUUGGGCGUAAAGCGCGUGUAGGCGGCUCGGUAAGUCCGCUGUGAAAGUCGGGGGCUCAACCCUCGGAUGCCGGUGGAUACUGUCGGGCUAGAGUACGGAAGAGGCGAGUGGAAUUCCUGGUGUAGCGGUGAAAUGCGCAGAUAUCAGGAGGAACACCAAUUGCGAAGGCAGCUCGCUGGGACGUUACUGACGCUGAGACGCGAAAGCGUGGGGAGCAAACAGGAUUAGAUACCCCGGUAGUCC
RNAcentral lists this ribosomal RNA (449 nucleotides) under uncultured bacterium. RNAcentral describes it as "bacterial SSU rRNA". It matches the Rfam family "Bacterial small subunit ribosomal RNA", at positions 355 to 796 of the family's 1533-position model. The record is from RNAcentral.